This 253-nucleotide ribosomal RNA is filed under the name uncultured bacterium. RNAcentral's name for it is "partial 16S ribosomal RNA". It matches the Rfam family "Bacterial small subunit ribosomal RNA", at positions 524 to 776 of the family's 1533-position model. The record is from RNAcentral.
UACGUAGGGGGCUAGCGUUGCUCGGAAUUACUGGGCGUAAAGCGCACGUAGGCGGUUCGUUAAGUCGGGGGUGAAAUCCUGGAGCUCAACCCCAGAACUGCCUUCGAAACUGGCGAUCUUGAGUCCGGGAGAGGUGAGUGGAAUUGCGAGUGUAGAGGUGAAAUUCGUAGAUAUUCGGAAGAACACCAGUGGCGAAGGCGGCUCACUGGCCCGGUACUGACGCUGAGGUGCGAAAGCGUGGGGAGCAAACAGG